AUGGCGUCGUGGAUUCGGCGUGAUUGACGGCGGUUCGUGGAUUCGGAUCGUUGGCUCGUGGAUUCGAGUGGCGUUCGUGGAUUCGGACGUGUGCGAGGCGUUCAUGGAUUCGAACGUGUGGGCGUGGACAACCCGGAGGAUUGCGCGAGGUUCAUAGGAGGUUAAGAGAGGUUGAGUCCGUGGAGUCGGUAAUCACCUUAUAAUCUUUUCUCUUAGUGAAUUAUUUUUUUCACGUGUUGGUCCCGUGGGUUUUUCUCCAAGUUAGAGUUUUCCCACGUAAAUCUCGGUGUGAUUUUUAUUUUUCGCAUUUAUUUUUAUCGCAUUGAGAUUUGUGGUUUUUGGCUUUUUCACCUAUUCACCCCCCUCUAGGUGAUAGAUACAAUCUAGAUAGAUUCUUGGGCUCCUCAAAACUUUCAAUUGGUAUCAGAGCGAGAUCUAGAUAAAUUGUUAUCUAAUGGCCGAA
Molecule: long non-coding RNA, 463 nt
Filed under: Ananas comosus (pineapple)
Lineage: Eukaryota; Viridiplantae; Streptophyta; Magnoliopsida; Poales; Bromeliaceae
Description: long non-coding RNA (ACOM_LNC037270)
Source: RNAcentral